ACAACCUAUAUGGAACAUAUGCAGAGUUGUUCCUUUCUGUUUAUGGAUAUUUGUUUCCUCAUUUGACACAAGUUAUCCCUAUAAAAUGGCUGUGGUACAGUCCAAAGCUCAAAAACAAACUAAACUCUGCCUAGUAAUCAGAUCUGAAGUUUUUGGAGAAUAACCCUCUGCAAUUCUCCUAUGGCAAUGAAGAAGGUGGUUUUCUUCAUUCUACUCAUGGUUUUUGCAACUGAGUUCACAGAAUGUUGUGAGAACGAUACAGUAUGUAAAGCUGGAGUUGUUCCAAAUCCAGGAUGUUGCUAUAAAUAUGUACCAUCAUUGGAAAGGUGCAAAAUAGUGUGUGGUCCAAAGUCUGUUGGACUGCCAUCAUGUGUGACCGUGAAGGAUUGUUAUGCACAUAAGAAACCUCAGCCAGACUAUACAUUGAUAUGCAAUUCGAAAGGACAGUGCGAAGAACAUCGUGGUGGCAAUUAGAAAAAUUUGAUAACUGAAGUUGACAAAGGGUUAGUCUUUGGUUCUAUUCCCGAGGGUUGUUUGUGAAUUUCAAAAAUAAUGAUAAUAAUGAAUGAAUAAAAAUAUAACUUUUCUAUUCC
Molecule: long non-coding RNA, 593 nt
Organism: Macadamia integrifolia
Lineage: Eukaryota; Viridiplantae; Streptophyta; Magnoliopsida; Proteales; Proteaceae
Exons: 2
Source: RefSeq, a predicted model, not a curated record